This 282-nucleotide long non-coding RNA is filed under the name Lathyrus oleraceus (garden pea). RNAcentral's name for it is "Pisum sativum (pea) long non-coding RNA (PSAT_LNC007315)". Lineage: Eukaryota; Viridiplantae; Streptophyta; Magnoliopsida; Fabales; Fabaceae. The record is from RNAcentral.
UCAAAGGUACUAGAUGAAUCCCAAGGUCUCAAAUCACAGACUCUCAAAGCAAGGGUCAAGGUCCUAGUUUUAAGUCCAUAAUUCCACAACAAUGCAAAGGAUAGCAACCUCAAGUCCAUAAAUCAUGAGAAUCAAUUUUUUAAGGAUUUUUUUUCCUUUAUUAAUGUCUUAAAAAGAAGAAGUCCAAUUGGACAAAGGAAAAAGAGCAUAAGUAUAAACAAAAGUCCAAUUGGACAAAAAUAAAAUUACAUAAGCACAAACAAUAUGAUAAGAGAUGCUAAA